Molecule: long non-coding RNA, 192 nt
Organism: Ceratitis capitata (Mediterranean fruit fly)
Lineage: Eukaryota; Metazoa; Arthropoda; Insecta; Diptera; Tephritidae
Exons: 3
Source: RefSeq, a predicted model, not a curated record
GCUGUCUGUUGGGUGUGCACUUGUAGAGCGGGCCGAAUCUCUUUGCUGAUUGAACAUAAAUGGAAUAUUUAUAUGUAUAUCAAACGACGGAACAAGAUAUUGUUUUCCACUACAUAAAAAAAUAUGAUCUACACUUCGUUGGAUUGCAUUAAUUAAGUCUGCGCGCAAUGCUUCCAUUUGAUGUAAACCAAU